This 253-nucleotide ribosomal RNA is filed under the name uncultured bacterium. RNAcentral's name for it is "partial 16S ribosomal RNA". It matches the Rfam family "Bacterial small subunit ribosomal RNA", at positions 524 to 776 of the family's 1533-position model. The record is from RNAcentral.
UGCGUAGGUGGCAAGCGUUGUCCGGAUUUAUUGGGCGUAAAGCGCUCGCAGGUGGUCCGAUGCGUCGUGCGUGAAAGACCCCGGCUCAACUGGGGAGUGUCGUGCGAUACGGUCGGACUGGAGGCCAGUAGGGGGAUGCGGAAUUCCGGGUGUAGUGGUGGAAUGCGUAGAGAUCCGGAGGAACACCAGCGGCGAAGGCGGCAUCCUGGACUGGUCCUGACACUCAUGAGCGAAAGCGUGGGGAGCGAUCCGG